Molecule: ribosomal RNA, 252 nt
Filed under: Staphylococcus epidermidis
Lineage: Bacteria; Bacillati; Bacillota; Bacilli; Caryophanales; Staphylococcaceae
Description: partial 16S ribosomal RNA
Rfam family: Bacterial small subunit ribosomal RNA
Source: RNAcentral
GCACUCUAAGUUGACUGCCGGUGACAAACCGGAGGAAGGUGGGGAUGACGUCAAAUCAUCAUGCCCCUUAUGAUUUGGGCUACACACGUGCUACAAUGGACAAUACAAAGGGCAGCGAAACUGCGAGGUCAAGCAAAUCCCAUAAAGUUGUUCUCAGUUCGGAUUGUAGUCUGCAACUCGACUAUAUGAAGCUGGAAUCGCUAGUAAUCGUAGAUCAGCAUGCUACGGUGAAUACGUUCCCGGGUCUUGUUC